RNAcentral lists this long non-coding RNA (707 nucleotides) under Mytilus galloprovincialis (Mediterranean mussel). Lineage: Eukaryota; Metazoa; Mollusca; Bivalvia; Mytilida; Mytilidae. The record is from RNAcentral.
AUUCUAUUCAGGGAAGCUACACUUGAUUGCCAAACAGUUAAGCAACUAGUUUUACCAGAAACUUGCGUUCCAAAAGUAAUGAAAGCACUUCACGAUGAUAUGGGCCACCAAGGACGAGAUAAGACACUGUCACUUAUAAGAGAUAGAUUUGUAUGGUAUGGGAUGACAAGAGAUGUGGAUCAGUGGAUAACGCAAUGCAACAGAUGCAUAAGACGAAAAACACCAACUAAUGAAAGAGCACCACUAGUUAGCAUUGAAACAUACCAACCACUUGAACUAGUAUGCAUGGACUACUUGUCACUGGAAAGAUCAAAAGGAGGUUUUGAAAAUGUUCUUGUCAUCACCGAUCACUUUACACGGUAUGCCUUAGCGAUUCCAACGAGGAACCAAACAGCAAAGACUACCGCCGAAGCAUUUUUCAACCACUUUGUAGUACAUUACGGAUUGCCAGAACGUAUUCACAGUGACCAAGGUGCCAACUUUGAAUCGAACAUCAUUAAAGAACUAUGUAACAUCACAGGCAUGCAGAAAUCACGUACUACACCUUACCAUCCUAUGGGCAACGGUACUACAGAGCGUUUCAAUCGAACAUUACUGGGUAUGUUAGGUACACUGGAAACAACACAGAAGAAAGAUUGGAAAGCACACAUUGCUGGAUUAGUACAUGCUUACAACUGCACCAGACAGACAACUACCAGAUACUCACC